Molecule: ribosomal RNA, 274 nt
Filed under: uncultured bacterium
Lineage: Bacteria
Description: partial 16S ribosomal RNA
Rfam family: Bacterial small subunit ribosomal RNA
Source: RNAcentral
AGACGGAGGGGGCGAGCGUUAAUCGGAAUUACUGGGCGUAAAGCGUGCGCAGGUGGUUUUGUAAGUCAGAUGUGAAAUCCCCGGGCUUAACCUGGGAACUGCGUUUGAAACUGCAAGGCUAGAGUGUGGCAGAGGGGGGUGGAAUUCCGCGUGUAGCAGUGAAAUGCGUAGAGAUGUGGAGGAACACCGAUGGCGAAGGCAGCCCCCUGGGUCAACACUGACGCUCAGGCACGAAAGCAUGGGGAGCAAACAGGAUUAGAUACCCCGGUAGUCC